This 253-nucleotide ribosomal RNA is filed under the name uncultured bacterium. Its description in RNAcentral is "partial 16S ribosomal RNA". It matches the Rfam family "Bacterial small subunit ribosomal RNA", at positions 79 to 334 of the family's 1533-position model. The record is from RNAcentral.
CUUUCUUUGCUGGCGACCGGCGCACGGGUGAGUAACACGUAUCCAACCUGCCCUUUACUCGGGGAUAGCCUUUCGAAAGAAAGAUUAAUACCCGAUAGCAUAAUGAUUCCGCAUGGUUUCAUUAUUAAAGGAUUCCGGUAAAGGAUGGGGAUGCGUUCCAUUAGGUUGUUGGUGGGGUAACGGCCCACCAAGCCUUCGAUGGAUAGGGGUUCUGAGAGGAAGGUCCCCCACAUUGAACUGAGACACGGUCCAA